UGGCUGAGUGGUAAAGCGCUUGGCUUCUGAGCUGGGAUCCCAGGUUCAAAUCCUGG
RNAcentral lists this transfer RNA (56 nucleotides) under Biomphalaria glabrata. It matches the Rfam family "tRNA", at positions 8 to 63 of the family's 71-position model. Rfam says of the family: Transfer RNA (tRNA) molecules are approximately 80 nucleotides in length. Lineage: Eukaryota; Metazoa; Mollusca; Gastropoda; Planorbidae. The record is from Rfam by way of RNAcentral.